UCGGCCAGCACGACGCACGCUACCAGGUGAAUUCGGUUGAAUUUAUUCAUUAUCCCUCGCGCCCAAUCAUCUUCGUUUUAUUGUCCAACACAUUUAUCUUUGCAAAGAUUUUCUUUUUUUACCAGUGCCAGUCAUUUCCUUUUCGUCGUAGACUUGCUAACGAUGAGCUCUUUUGUUUACUCAAUCCACUGCUGUGCAAGUCAAGUGGCGUUUUGACUCGUCAAGUGAUGGUUUCACCACAUGAAUGGAGGUCUAUUAAAGACGAGUAGCAUUUCUCAUCUCGCACUGUUUUUCGAGCCACACGUAGCCAAAUUAGCCUUGUUUUCCCCUCUUGACGUAGAAUUCAAUCGCCUUUGGCCACAACAUUCAUUGUCUAUUAUAGCACUUUUGCCGUGUUCGCUGUUGCGUUCGUUCGUGCACGUCCUUUUCUGGUUUCUUUCACACGGUGGUGGAUAUUGGCUCACGACCACUUAUUCACGUUUUUAUUCGUCUGUUUCCUCUAUAUUUGAAUUUUGGAUGCUGUGGAAUAAUGAGACGAGAGUCGGUGAUGUGGGAUACACGAAGGGGGGAGAGAGCCUUACGUUUUAUGCAAUUACGAGAUGCUCUGCUGCCUCAAGAUGUAAUUAUUUUUGUUUUCUUUCCUUCCUAAUUUAUUUCUUUCCGCAUUUGCCUACACGGCCGUAAGAGAGUAUGGGCUGAAAAGUUGAGUCAACAUUUCUGUGCUCGUUAGCGUAUAUUCGAAUUGGGAGAGCAAGUUGCGCUGAUACAGAAACAAAGAUGGCGGUAAAUGUUGGGGGAAGAUGACGACUGUUUAAAUCAAAGAUGAAGUUGUGUUCAAUUUAUUUACUAUGAGAGACUGUAGGUUUUUCAUGCUGUUGAACUUUUGUGCCUUUUUAAGGGGUUGUACAUUGCCUGGCAGAGUGUGCCGGAGAAACCGGUGACAACCAACGAAAAUGAUGUGCGACGGUUUAUUAACAGGCCCCCGUCUUACAGAAAUGUAGACGAAGCUGCUUUAAAUGAUGACAUAUCCCAAACUUGUUAAUAGGCGCGUGCGAUGUUGCUGCAGGUUGCACACAACUUUUUCUGCUGCAAGAAGAAUGUAGGGGGCACAGAUGAAAGGCCGGAGACAACUUGGAAAGAUGUACGUGAAAGUGAAUGCGAUGUGGAAUGGAACGACAAAAGAAAAUGUGCAUCCGCUUUGUAGAUUAUGCAGCAAUGUGCUAUUUUUCUUUUAGAGCGUAUUAAACUGCUCUAAAUUAUGUUUCGGGAGAUGUGCAAGAAUCUUGUGAGCUGUUUUCCUUGGUGGACGUUGAUGCUGUUGCCAACUGGAACGAAUACAAGGUGAAUUAUUGUACAUCGUUGUACGAUAAGUAUUCCCAUCCAGAUUCCAGGAAAUGAUAGUUUAGGAAUUAAACUUUCAAUAACUGUGUAUACCAAUGCUUUCAUCCGUUUUCCGAGGAGGGGCACCUUCUUUUGUUCAUCUUUUCGCUGCGUCGAUGACUGGAUCGAUUGCGUUCUGUGCUUGGCCCCGUCACGUUCGCCUAUACUUCCGUGAAAACUAGAAUUUAUAGGCAACGAUGAAAUCUUUUUCUCUAAUCAAUGAAAUCAUUUAUUAUUAUUAUUAUUUUUUUUUCGCUCUCUAUGGAUUUUGGUGGCAGCAGCAGCGACGGGAGCGAGUUGAUUUAGUAGACAGCGAUCGACCGCACAGAGAGCAAAAGCUCAAUGCGGAUACGUGUGCCCCAGGUGUUUUUCGUUUGCUGCUUUGGUCCGGGUACACAUUGGGGGAUUAUGAUGGUGCAGCGACAAGAGACUAUACACGGCUACUCGCCGGAACAUGAUCCGCUUCCUUGAUGUCCGGGCUGAUGUCGUAUACAGUAUAGUAUAUGACGCAUUCGUCAAUGGCUGCGUCGGCAGCGAAGACGGUGCUGGUCUGCGACACAAAUGGAGCCAUCAAACAACAGCCAUCGGCUUACUAUUUUGUUUUGUUUUUGGCUUAGGUAAACUAACGUGGCAGAGACAGCCUUUCACUUGUUUUAUACGCACUAAGAAAUGAUUUCAUUCCGUCAUUUCCUGUCUAUACGCUUGCGUACGCCGACUAGUCAAGACGGUCGUCUUAAAAACAUCGUAUUUCUAAAGCUUUGAUGAGCAGAAUAAAGGUCAGACGACACAAAGCUCACAAUGAAAUGCAUUCCAUUAUCGAGUAGAGGGUAAAGAAAUAAGAGUGUUUGUGCUGACUGUCCAUGGUUCUCGGAUGGAGUGCAACACUCACGACAGAAAGGAAAACACGCAACUAAAGUCUAUUUGCUCAAUGUAUUAGGAAAUAGGGAAGAGGGAUUCCCCAAACGCCUCAUCAAGACCAACAGUAAGAAUAGAAUCUUAUUGGAUUGUUGUCGUACAGCAACGGCCGUGCGACAUUAUUUUAAGACUCUUCGACGAGAAAUGGAAUGUCAGGAUGAGUUAUUUCGGUCUAGAGUUUAACUGAGUUUUGUAAUCGCAUGGUAGCCGCUGAAAUGGGCCAAUUUCAAGUCAAAUAUUUGUGCAAGAUCAUCAAUGUCAUUUUUAGAGAUCCGCUGGAGCUGACGAAAGACAAUCACGUGCUGAUGGGAAUGAACGCAAUCGGCAAAAGUGCUCCGUAGAAAAGAAUAAAGAGGGACUCGUGGCGAAUAACAUCUCAUCUGUAUAGAAUGGCAGGGUACAAGAGCAUCGCGGAUUACUCUCAACAAAGAGGAUAACAAGGAAAAGACGUCAAUGAUAACACGUUUGCUUUAGCCGAGCAACAAUAUAAAGAAAAUGCAGUCGGCAAAGUUCUACGUAUUUGAGACUCUCUAGACGCGCCUCCUGCAUUGUUUUCAUUCGUUGGCGGAGCUUCUCGCGUGUAAUCGACAUGUCAGACCGAGUGCAACGCCACGACAAACAGUUUAAAUUUGAACGAGACAGCAGCACAAUUUUAUUCGAAAAGAAAUGAAUGCCAAGUUGGCAUUGCCUUCCCCCGCAGCAUUGGGUUAUCAAAAAAACGUCAACUUUGUCCAAAUGAAUUCGCCCGGCUGUUGUUGUUUGCCUCACUGCAAGGUGCUACCUAUGGAACACCGCCAGUUGGACAUGGAUGCGAUUGGCCGUCUUUGUAUUGAUCAUCCACCUUCUGUAAAUAGCAAAGGCUCAAUAAAUAUUCGAGUUCAGCUGCGUCAUGACAGGUAAAAUUGAAAGGUCUUCUAAAAAUGUUGGAGCUGAUCGGUACAAGGCCGACUGGCACAGCUAUUUUCAUCUCGUUUUAUUCCAAUCUUGUGUCAAUCAAUAUGUUAUCAAUGUUUGCUGAAAAUGUGUGAGAUUCUAGGGGGGUUGGUGUGCACGUAAAGGAUCGUCUGCCCUAACGAUUAACGAACAAAUCAGCAGGUACAGGUGAAUAAAAAAGACGGUGCAAUUAGCGCAACAGAAGGUGGCUGACUACGAGUCGCGACGGUUGGUGAAUUAUAGGCAGCUCAAUCAACCAUAUAACAAGGGGAGCGUCACAGUUUCCAUCCAGGCCAGUGAUUUUUGCAGCCCAGUGCUGCACCCCAGCAUCUUCCGCAGCCGAUACGAGGCUUAAAAAAAGAACUGCGUGCAUUGUAACUAUGGUAUAUAACUCAUAGAUGUUUUCUUAAAUGUUGUUCAAGAGUCAAAUGAAAAAAAGAGGAUCCCUGUCGUUUUUGAUACGCUCCGGUUAGCAACAUGAAAGCCAAUUAGUCAUCAAGAAUGGCUCAACUUCGAAAGGUUCGCAUGUUCUCGGUAUAGUUCAUUUGAACGCAACUAGUCACAGCGCAACACGAAAAAAUGCGAUUUAUUUCCCCCCCUUUAAGCAUUUCUUUUAGGCGUUCGCCUUCAUGGAAGGGCUUGUAUAGCUGCAGUGACGUAUCAGCACUUUGUGGACUAGACUAGGCUAUUGCCAUUUGGCUGGUGGGAACGGUGAACGGAAAAAAAUCGCACCUUGUAGCCAUCGACGGCUCAUGAUAAACUGCGACGCACACAACUAACCAAGAGACAAAAGCUGUGUAGAGGCUAAGAAGAAUCAUCACGUACCGCAUAUCCAACUAAUAACGCAAGAGGUUUGAUUCACUUAACCAAUGAGAUGAAAUUUGCCUGAAUCGCGGUGGGGCAUUGUAGACGAUGUCGACGAAAAGACAUCAAGGAGGGAUAACAAUGGACCGAGCAAAACACGGACGUUUAUGUACGAAUGGAGAGAUGCUUUAACGAGAUAAGUAUACGCUCGCAACGUUACGUGCGGAGUAAUGAAAGGCGAGACGACACACGUUCAAUCCGAGUAUUUGGGCUUCAGUCACAACGAGGCUAUCGGUAUAUCCAACUCGUCAGAUGCUGAACGCGAGCAGCGUGCACUUUCCCGCUGGCCUGUACACACGUGUACAGUACAGUACAUGGCAUAGAGCAGAACGUAUUGAUUGGUGAUGUCGGCCAUAAGAGCUAAAAAAAGCACUGCGUCUCUCGGCGUAACCAAACCUUUCGGCCGUGCUCAUCUGUUCGUCUGUACGGUAAGACUUUUCCUAAAAAUAAUUACAAUUUUGGUAAUUCCUUUUCAAAAAAUCAUAAACGAGAGGUGUUGGUAUGAAGCCAAAAGAAGCCACCGAUUAUUUUCAAAGAGCUGAACUAUGUAGUCUACAUCAAUAUAGUUGAGGCGUUUGAUAAAAGAUGGAUGGGUUAAACUCUGUUAUUGCUGCGUGCUCACAUUUUGCCAGGAGAGAACGAGAAACAAAGGGAAAAAUGAUCGUGUUUUGCAAUAUAAAGGAGCCGGUGCUGUACUCGGAGGACGUGUGUGACGCUUCCGCAUCUCUCGCUAUACGUCACGCGUUGUUCUGCUGUGUUGCAUCGGGGCUAAAAACUUGGCACUCACGAACCGACAAGCAUCGCAAAGUACCAACGCGCCUACGACCAUCACCCCUCCUUCAAUGCGAUUGCAUGAUGCUCAUAGCCUCUGAUGCAGAUAGAUCUAUUUCUCAGGGUGGCCAGUGCUCCAACACAAGGGAACCGUUUUCCUAUUUAAAUGAUUUUGUUAAUACACAAAUAUUGUAUUAACAA
Molecule: long non-coding RNA, 5064 nt
Organism: Daphnia magna
Lineage: Eukaryota; Metazoa; Arthropoda; Branchiopoda; Diplostraca; Daphniidae
Exons: 8
Source: RefSeq, a predicted model, not a curated record